Molecule: ribosomal RNA, 565 nt
Filed under: uncultured Glomeromycotina
Lineage: Eukaryota; Fungi; Glomeromycota
Description: SSU rRNA
Rfam family: Eukaryotic small subunit ribosomal RNA
Source: RNAcentral
UUGGAGGGCAAGUCUGGUGCCAGCAGCCGCGGUAAUUCCAGCUCCAAUAGCGUAUAUUAAAGUUGUCGCAGUUAAAAAGCUCGUAGUUGAAUUUCGGGGUUAGUAGGCUGGUCAUGCCUCUGGUAUGUACUGGUCUCACUGAUUCCUCCUUCCUGAUGAAUCUUAAUGCCAUUAAUUUGGUGUUUUGGGGAAUUUGGACUGUUACUUUGAAAAAAUUAGAGUGUUUAAAGCAAGCUAACGCUUGAAUACAUUAGCAUGGAAUAAUGAAAUAGGACGUUCGAUCCUAUUUUGUUGGUUUCUAGGAUUGACGUAAUGAUUAAUAGGGAUAGUUGGGGGCAUUAGUAUUCAAUUGUCAGAGGUGAAAUUCUUGGAUUUAUUGAAGACUAACUACUGCGAAAGCAUUUGCCAAGGAUGUUUUCAUUAAUCAAGAACGAAAGUUAGGGGAUCGAAGACGAUCAGAUACCGUCGUAGUCUUAACCAUAAACUAUGCCGACUAGGGAUCGGGUGAUGUUAAUUUUUUAAUGACUCAUUCGGCGCCUUACGGGAAACCAAAGUGUUUGGGUUC